Molecule: ribosomal RNA, 262 nt
Filed under: uncultured bacterium
Lineage: Bacteria
Description: partial 16S ribosomal RNA
Rfam family: Bacterial small subunit ribosomal RNA
Source: RNAcentral
CGUAGGGUGCGAGCGUUAAUCGGAAUUACUGGGCGUAAAAGCGUGCGCAGGCGGUUUUUGUAAGACAGGGCGUGAAAAUCCCCGAGCUCAACUUGGGAAGUGGCGCUUGUGACUGCAAGGCUAGAGUAUGUCAGAGGGGGGGUAGGAAUUCCACGUGUAGCAGUGAAAUGCGUAGAGAUGUGGAGGAAUACCGAUGGCGAAGGCAGCCCCCUGGGACGUCACUGACGCUCAUGCACGAAAGCGUGGGGGAGCAAACAGGAUU